CGAAAGCCUGACGGAGCGAUACCGCGUAAGGGAGGAAGGCUCUUGGGUUGUAAACCUCUUUUCUCAAGGAAUAAGUUCUGAAGGUACUUGAGGAAUAAGCAUCGGCUAACUCCGUGCCAGCAGCCGCGGUAAUACGGAGGAUGCAAGCGUUAUCCGGAAUUAUUGGGCGUAAAGCGUCCGUAGGUGGCUGUUAAAGUCUGCCGUUAAAGACCGGGGCUUAACUCCGGAAAAACUGCGGAAACUGAACAGCUAGAUUAGGGUAGGGGUAAGGGGAAUUCCCGGUGUAGCGGUGAAAUGCGUAGAUAUCGGGAAGAACACCGGUGGCGAAGGCGCCUUACUGGACCCUAACUGACACUGAGGGACGAAAGCUAGGGGAGCG
Molecule: ribosomal RNA, 379 nt
Filed under: uncultured Oscillatoria sp.
Lineage: Bacteria; Bacillati; Cyanobacteriota; Cyanophyceae; Oscillatoriales; Oscillatoriaceae
Description: bacterial SSU rRNA
Rfam family: Bacterial small subunit ribosomal RNA
Source: RNAcentral